Long non-coding RNA from Hippocampus zosterae (dwarf seahorse), 361 nucleotides. RefSeq lists it as uncharacterized. The transcript is spliced from 2 exons. NCBI's taxonomy places the organism in Eukaryota, Metazoa, Chordata, Actinopteri, Syngnathiformes, Syngnathidae. The record is from RefSeq and is a predicted model, not a curated record.
UUCUCCAGCAGUUCCACCGCCGGGCAGUCGUCGUCCGCGAUUAACUCCUCUUCUGCGGCCGCUUCCUUAACGGCGGUCACAGUUCCCACUGAAAAGGAUACAUCGACGGUGCCACCACUCGCUUGUGUAUCCCGGCAAAGAAGAGUGCGAUGAGCGUGAUACAGCUGAUGGUGAAAAAGGGAUGAUUCCACAGCGAUGAAAAGAAAGACACCUGUGGGAGAAGAGGAGCACAGCCACAACAGUUAUAGACACAGUUCUCAAUCUGCUAACAUGGUGAGCUAAUGCACUGCUGCAUCACAAUCCAGCUAAAAUGAUAAUCUAUUUAUAUACAAGCAAAUAAAGAGUAAUGUUUUCAUCUCUA